CUAUAUGCUCUCCCCUCUUCUGCUUUUGUAGUGGUUAAUUCUUGUCUCUUCGUUUUUUCUUUAGGUAAGCAGUCUUCCCAAAUCCUAUUUUACCAUUUAAUAAAUCCUUUGUGAUUGAGGUAUGGUUUGAGCUGUGGAAGAUUUUCGAAAUUUGGGUAGAAAGAACGAAGAGUGUUCACGAGUUAAGGGUGUAGCACGCGAAGAAGAAAGUGCCUGGAAGACCAUCUUUCAGAGAUCAAGUUCCUUGCCGAAACCAAUCCAAGGCUCUCUCAACCCAAGACAAAGAGGUAAAGAGGCGGCAAAAUCCGCUCACAGACCGACUACCUUAACUCACUCCCUGACAGGGCACACUGAAUUGAACUAGAGCUUCUUUUCUUGUCCUUUGAGAAGGGAUCUCUCUCUGUAAAGAAAGAAAUCCUUGACUCAGAAGCACGAAUCUAAAGAUUCCCUCUCAAAACAGCUAUCUGACAUGCAUAGAAAGUAGUUGGAUGCCUAGCUAAGUUGAGUGCUUUCGCACCUUGCGUGCUCAGACUCGCUGGCAGAAGACAGUCCAACUUCCUGCCGGCUAUGCUAUCAGUCAAACAGACUCGAAACUGGAUCGCUGGUAACCCUAUCUUUUAUAUAAUCAAAAAAGAUUCGUGCUUUGAAAUGGUGUCACUGGCCUGGCUUUUGACAAAGAUCUGAACUGAUCGAUGAAUUUACCCUAGCUUCUUGUAAGGGGAUGUGAGGGCCCUCCCACUAUUUGGAUUGGAAAGGGAUUGGAAAGAGCUGGGAAGCUCUAGACUAUGGGGGAAGGCAAAAGCUACUUACUUUCGCCUUGCAAUUCGGCUCUGAGCCCGAUGCCUUUAGCAGCUCUUAUGUCUUGCCUAGUCCUUCCGAGAUCGCAGUGGAGAGCUUCAGGCAGCACCACAGCCCUAGGAGCACUAGAAUAGGUAGCACGGGUCACAGCAAGACUUCAAUCUCUCGAUCCAGCAAUGAGGAAAGAAAGGUCUCUGUCCCGAAAGAAAAGAAGUGGCAUUUCCCUUCCGCUUACUACCUAUCACAGAGAUUGGGCACUUUUGCCCUAAAGCAGGGAGAAGGAAAGUAGGUGCGCGAAAGAUCUUCGGUGGUGAAGGGAAUGGUUCGUUGAAGAGCUCCAUUUUCUCAUUUUAGACGUGUGGUGUUGAAGCGCAAGGUUACUUGGUGGAGGAGGUGAAAUCCUGUCUCAACACUGUCCAGAGGUUUGUUUUUGUCAUUUUUCGCAUCUUCUGUAUACAUUGGAAAAACAUUUUUAAAGUUUCAUUGAAAGAACAUCUUUAAAAAUUUAAAUGGUUCUUUAUUACAUUGCAUUAAGUUAUGGAACAUACAAGUUGCUUCACAUGGUCAUGCCUUUAUUGAUCUGUGGUUCUAAAACCCAACAUCUUAAUUUUCUCAUCCGUAGCCCCUACUGCAACUGCCACUACCAAUAUUAAAAUAUAGUACUCUUUCUAGCUUCUGCCCUUUGAACCUGGCCGAUCUCGGACACACUCACCAUCUUUGUUUCCUUUGACAAAACUAAUGAAUUGGUGUUUGGACAGAACAAACCAAGUCACAACACUUUAGUGGUAUAGGGGCUUUUUUUUCUUGGUUACUGAAGUGUGUUUGAAGAUGUGGGAGGAGUCAGCGUUUUAUAUGUAUGCAAGGGUGGAUUGGAAAUGGGUAGGUGAGUAGCACGUGCAUCACCAAUUGCCAUGUGAGUUUGGUCACAUAUUUUAGAAGACCAUCUCUACCUCCCUUAACUAAUUCAUUUAUUUUUUGAUUGACUAUCCAAUAAUUAGUGAUAUUUUAUCACGUGUGUGGAACUUGGUUGUGGAGUGGAAUGUAUGAAUUAUUCUACUGUAUUUGACUUUUUUUCUGAAAAGUGAUUACUUAACUUUUUUUUCUUAAGCUAAGUAUUUGGCUCUCAAUGCUUGACUAGUUCAAUGUAAAUUGCCUUUCAUGGAAUUUAUAAAAAAACUGGUAAAACAAACUGUAGCUUCAUCGAAUCAUCUUAACCUUUACUCUCUUUUCCUCUCAUUUUUUGACAUUUUCAGUUGUAUUGUUUGUUGAACAUAGCCUUAGAAAUUCAUUCAAACAAUAGUUGGUUGUUUCUUUAUUCUUCUAAUCUUGCUCUAGUUUCGUUUAGAAUCCAUAAAUCCCAAAUUCCACCUUCUACGAGCUCAAGGAAGUUUUAUAUCUAGAAACUCCCUUGCUUGUACAUGCUUGUUUCCAAACAUAUUUUGCAAUUUCAAACCUAUGCUAUGCUGUAUAGAUAAAUGAAACCUGUGCAUUUUAGGAUUAUGUGUGAUUAUACUUCAGAUAUCAUAUUUAAAAACUAGAUGCAUAAUUACAUUUUAGUAUUUUUUUUCUCAGUGGUUCAAUAUAGGUUGCUUUUAAAAGUUGCAUUUUAUACCAUUGUAAUAGAGAAUUUAAAAAAACAUAUUUUGACCUGGGAAUUUACACUUCUUUAGGUAUCCAACUAAUUACAUGCAAUAUGAAAGAAACCACUCUUAGUAAUGACUUGAUUCAUGAAAUUCUUUCCUGGCUUCCCAUAAAAGGUUUCAGUGUUUGAUAUCAGAUUCGACUUUUGUCAAACUCCAUCUCCAUAGAGCAAGCCAACACUCCAAUUUUCUAAUAAUCUUCAAAACGGAAAGAUGAUAGUCGCGUGGUAAGUCCUUGUUCUUUGUUUUGUUUGUUGCAAAACAACCACGACUUUCACGAGGUUCUAUAAAGGUUUUUGGAUUGAUAUCAGGGUCUAAAUUCUUGUCAUGGAUUGGUCUAUGUGGUGUUUGACUAUAGAUCGGGUUUUGUGUCUUCACUUAAGCAUAGUUGUUGUUUUACUACAUGGAACUCUACCACAAGAAAAAUAUUUCGAGUUUCAAGAUUUACCUUUCGAGAUAUUGAAGAAGAUAUUUCCUUUGGUUUGGAUACAAUGACAGUAGUAAUAGAUAUAGUGAUCAUAAUUUCCUAUAUUGACUCUAAAUCUAAUAAUGUGGUGAAAUCUUGCAAUGAAGUCAAGAUUUACUCCAUAGGUAACAAUGGUUGGAAAAGCAUUGAAAAAUUUUCUGCUAAUAUUCCUUCCCUGCCUGAUUAUGGAAUAUAUUUUAACACCAAUAUUAUUUGGUUAACAACAACAAAUGAAUUUGAUAGAUCUCAAUAUAUAUUUGAUGUUUUUGUCGUGGUUUUCCUUGACCUCUAAAGUAAAAAAUUCUCCAACUUGUUGCUGCCUCAAAAUCUUGAAGGUGGGGAUGCAUAUAUAAGGUUUCUAGAAAUUAUGGUUUUAGAUGAUUAUCUUAGUCUAUUUAUAAAGAUUUUGCUACAGACACCUUUGUAGUAUGACAAAUGAAAGAUUUUGGAAACAUGGAUUCUUGGACCCUCUUGGUGAAUAUAGAUGUUGAAGUUCAAGCCGUGCCUUCUUGGUGAACAUAGAUAUUGAAGUUUAAGUCGUGCCUUCCUUGAAACCUUUAUGCAUAUACGAUAGGUUCCUUGUGUUCUAUCAACUUACUCUUGAUUAUCAAAUGCAUGUAGUUUUGUAUGAUUUGAGAGGGAGAGAAGUAACACAGAGGAUAACUUCUAAAAAAGUAAUCUUCAACCCAUAUAAAAAAUACUUCUCUAGAAGUUAUCCUCUGUGCUACUUCUCUCCCUUUCAAAUCAUACAAAAUUACAUGCAUUUGAUAAUCAAGAGUAAGUUGAUAGAAUAAGAAACCUACCGUGUAUGCAUAAAGGUUUCAAAAAAGGCACGCUUGAGUCUGAAGAACUCCAACAUCUAUGUUUACCAAGAGGAUCCAAGAAUCCCGGUUUUCAAAAUCUUUCAUUUGCCAUACUACAAAGGUGUCUGUUGCAAAAUCUUUAUAAACCAGACUAAGAUAAUAAUCUAAAAUCAUAAUUUAUGGAAAUCUUAUAUCUGCAUCCCUACCUUCAAGAUUUCAAGGCAGCAACAUGUUGGUGAAUUUUUCAAUUUGGAUGUCGAGGAAAUCCACGACAAAAGCAUCAAAUGUAUAUUGAGAUCCAUCAAAUUCAUUUGUUAUUGUUAACCAAAUAAUAUUGCUGUUAAACUAUAUUUCAUAAUCAGGCAUGGAAGAAAUAUUAGCAGGAAUUUUUUCAAUGCUUCUUCAACCAUUGUUGCUACCUAUGGAGUAAAUCUUGACUUCAUUGCAAGAUUUCACCACAUUAUCCGAUUUAGAGUCAAAAUUGGAAAUGAUGAUCACUAUUUUGUAUGUAUUACUAUUGUCGUCGUAUCCAAACUCAAAUAAAAGAUCUUCUUAAAUAUCUCUGGAAGCAAAAUCUUAGAAUUCGAAAUAUUUUUCUUGUGGCGGGAAGUGAAACCACAAAUAUGUUUAAGUGAAGAUACAAAACCCCAACUAUGGUCAAACGCCACACAAACCAAUCCAUGGCAAGAAUUUAGACUCAGAUAUCGAUUCAAAAACCAUUCUAGAAAAUUGGAGUGUUGGCUUGCUCUCUGGAGUUUGACAAAACGGAAACCCUUUGCUCAUGCAAGUGAAUCGCCCGAGAGAUUUUACGAGAAGCCAGAAAGAAUUUCACAAAUCAAGUCGUUACUAAGAGUGGUUUCUUCCAUAUUGCAUGUAAUUAGUUGGAUACCUAAUGCAAUGUAAUAAAGAACAAUUUAAAAAUGUUCUUACAAUGUAUACAGAAUAUGAUAAAGAUGGCAAAAACUAACCUCUGGACAGGAUUUCACCUCCAUUAAGUAACCUUGCGCUUCAACACCACACCAUGGAGGUCUUCAACGAACCAUUCCCUUCACCACUGAAGACCUUCAACGCACAUUACAGGGUCUCUUAAACAGUUAAGAUUUUCAACCUAUGAGUCAAGUAAUCAAAGCUAACACAGGGUUUUGCAAAGAUGACUUACCUUGUUCUUCAUGUCAUACACCCUUAGCUCGCCAACACAGUGUUUGUUCUUUGUCAUUUCUAACCAAAUUUCGAAGAUUAUCGACAGCUCAAACCAUACCUCAAUCACAAAGGAUUUAUUAAAUGGUUCAUAGGUUUAUAAUAGGGCAGAGAAGGAGAAAGGAAAAAAGAGAGAGGAAGGCAAAAGAAAAA
This is a long non-coding RNA of Vigna angularis (adzuki bean), 5057 nucleotides long. RefSeq lists it as uncharacterized. The transcript is spliced from 3 exons. The record is from RefSeq and is a predicted model, not a curated record. Lineage: Eukaryota; Viridiplantae; Streptophyta; Magnoliopsida; Fabales; Fabaceae.